AGAGUUUGAUCCUGGCUCAGGAUGAACGCUGACAGAAUGCUUAACACAUGCAAGUCGACUCGAGAGUACUUCGGUACUGAUAGGGUGGCGCACGGGUGAGUAACACGUGAAUAACCUGCCUCUAAGACUGGGAUAACUAAUCGAAAGAUUAGCUAAUACCGGAUAAGCUCACGGCACUGCAUGGUGCAGGGAGAAAAACUAUAUGUACUUAGAGAGGGGUUCGCGUCCCAUUAGCUAGUUGGUGAGGUAAAGGCUCACCAAGGCGACGAUGGGUAGCCGGCCUGAGAGGGUGGACGGCCACAAGGGAACUGAGACACGGUCCUUACUCCUACGGGAGGCAGCAGUGGGGAAUAUUGGACAAUGGGCCACGAGCCUGAUCCAGCAAUUCUGUGUGGACGAUGAAGGUUUUCGGAUUGUAAAGUCCUUUCAGUAGGGAAGAAAAAAACGACGGUACCUACAGAAGAAGCACCGGCUAAUUAUGUGCCAGCAGCCGCGGUAAGACAUAAGGUGCGAGCGUUAUCCGGAAUCACUGGGCGUAAAGGGCAUCUAGGCGGUUUAUUAAGUCAGAGGUGAAAAGCCGAAGCUCAACUUUGGUCUUGCCUUUGAAACUGAUAGACUAGAAUACGGGAUAGGAGGGCGGAACUACAAGUGUAGAGGUGAAAUUCGUAGAUAUUUGUAGGAAUGCCGAUGACGAAGGUAGCUCUCUGGACCGAUAUUGACGCUGAAGUGCGAAAGCUAGGGUAGCAAACAGGAUUAGAUACCCUGGUAGUCCUAGCUGUAAACGAUGAUUACUGGGUGUGGGGGGUCGAACCUCUGUGCCGAAGCUAACGCGAUAAGUAAUCCGCCUGGGGAGUACGGUCGCAAGACUGAAACUCAAAGGAAUUGACGGGGACCCGCACAAGCGGUGGAGCAUGUGGUUUAAUUCGACGCAACGCGAGGAACCUUACCAGGUCUUGACAUCGUACAAAUCUUUUAGAGAUAGAAGAGUGCCGGCUUGCCGGAAUGUAUAGACAGGUGGUGCAUGGCUGUCGUCAGCUCGUGUCGUGAGAUGUUGGGUUAAGUCCCGCAACGAGCGCAACCCCUAUUGCCAGUUACCAUCAUUAAGUUGGGGACUCUGGCGAGACUGCCUGCGAUGAGCAGGAGGAAGGUGGGGAUGACGUCAAGUCAUCAUGCCCCUUAUGACCUGGGCUACACACGUGCUACAAUGGGUAUUACAGAGGGAAGCGAAGUGGUGACAUGGAGCAAAACUCAGAAAGGUACUCUUAGUUCGGAUUGUAGUCUGCAACUCGACUACAUGAAGCUGGAAUCGCUAGUAAUCGCAAAUCAGCUAUGUUGCGGUGAAUACGUUCUCGGGUCUUGUACACACCGCCCGUCACACCACGAGAGUUUAUUGCACCUGAAGUUACUGGCCCAACCUGCAAAGGAGGGAGGUACCUAAGGUGUGGUAGAUGAUUGGGGUGAAGUCGUAACAAGGUAGCCGUACCGGAAGGUGUGGCUG
Molecule: ribosomal RNA, 1498 nt
Filed under: metagenome
Description: bacterial SSU rRNA
Rfam family: Bacterial small subunit ribosomal RNA
Source: RNAcentral